This 499-nucleotide ribosomal RNA is filed under the name uncultured delta proteobacterium. Its description in RNAcentral is "bacterial SSU rRNA". It matches the Rfam family "Bacterial small subunit ribosomal RNA", at positions 47 to 523 of the family's 1533-position model. Lineage: Bacteria; Deltaproteobacteria. The record is from RNAcentral.
CUUAACACAUGCAAGUCGGACGAGAAAGGGGACUUCGGUUCCCCGAGUAAAGUGGCGCACGGGUGAGUAACGCGUAGGUAACCUACCCCGGAUUUGGGAUAACAGUGCGAAAGCGCUGCUAAUACCGGAUACGACCUUGGAGCGGGAGCUUUGAGGUGAAAGUCGGCCACUCGAAGAAGCUGAUGUUCGGGGAUGGGCCUGCGUCCUAUCAGCUAGUUGGUAGGGUAACGGCCUACCAAGGCGACGACGGGUAGCUGGUCUGAGAGGAUGAUCAGCCACACUGGCACUGGAACACGGGCCAGACUCCUACGGGAGGCAGCAGUGAGGAAUUUUGCGCAAUGGCCGCAAGGCUGACGCAGCAACGCCGCGUGGGUGAAGAAGGCCUUCGGGUCGUAAAGCCCUGUCAGGUGGGAAGAAAGGCUUGAGGGUGAAUAGCCUUCGAGUUUGACGGUACCACCAGAGGAAGCACCGGCUAACUCCGUGCCAGCAGCCGCGGUAA